CCAUUUUCCCCUUAGAGAGUACAGAAGAACCAGGAGAAGACAUAGAGCCACAGACGCCGCCGUCGCUCAAUUGAUGCUCGUCAAGGCUGUUUAAUGUUUUCUUCUACUUUCUUUCUACGGUGCUUGAAUUUGAUUGCAAGACGCGCAGAUAAUUAAAUGGACGAUGAAGUGCAAGAAUUGCGGAAUCGACUGAGACGAGAAGCAUAUGCUAAUAGGCGGCUAAAAAAGCAGAGUGAAAUUUGAAGUACUGUUGACCGAUGCUUCUGGUUCGAUAAUUGCAACAAUGUUUGAGAAUCAUGCUGAAGAAUAUUUGUUAGUUGAUGGGAGAACACUUCUGAACUAUGCUGCAGAGGUGAAUUUCAAUUCUGCAAGUUAGAUUAAAUUCGCAAUUCCAGAUUUCUAUUGGACAACUGAACAACAAAUUCUACCCUUAACAGAACAACCAAAAUAUUGUUGAUAUCUUCCCAAAAGUGGCCAUAGAAAAUGAAUACCUGAUCCAAUUGAUACCAUGAGAAUACCCAUCCCAUGGUGUCAAGCUUCUCACAUACAAAAUCAAAAGCAUCAAACCUGCCUUGAGUAAAGAUAACUCAAAGGAAGAUCCAGCAACAAAGACAGAAAAACCUCCAUUAGUUGAAACCAAAGUGAAGAACAAGCUCUUCCAAGAAGAUGACCAUCCCACAACCAUAUCAGAAGAAACUCUUGAAUCACCAUAAAAGCCUAGCUCAGUAAGCAUGCUAAAACUAGAACUAAUCACCUACUUUAUUUUGGUAGGCAUUGUCGUUGGCGUAUAGUCUUUUGAUUUACGGUUCCUUGCUACCACCACAGCUGUAUAUAUCUGAUAGUAGCUGUUCUGAGGCAUUGUGCCUUCCUUUUUGUAACAAUUGCUACUAUCCCUUCCAAACCGGAGCUGUUGGUGUAUAGCCUUUUGAUUUGUGUUUCAAUUUCUUUGUGUUGGGCCUCAA
Long non-coding RNA from Rhododendron vialii, 962 nucleotides. RefSeq lists it as uncharacterized. The record is from RefSeq and is a predicted model, not a curated record. NCBI's taxonomy places the organism in Eukaryota, Viridiplantae, Streptophyta, Magnoliopsida, Ericales, Ericaceae. The transcript is spliced from 2 exons.